AGCUGGUCCAAGUGCAGUGGUGUUUACAACUAAUUGAUCACAACCAGUUACAGAUUUCUUUGUUCCUUCUCCACUCCCACUGCUUCACUUGACUAGCCUUUU
Molecule: Y RNA, 102 nt
Filed under: Cebus imitator (Panamanian white-faced capuchin)
Lineage: Eukaryota; Metazoa; Chordata; Mammalia; Primates; Cebidae
Description: Y RNA (ENSCCAG00000000866.1)
Rfam family: Y RNA
About the family: Y RNAs are components of the Ro ribonucleoprotein particle (Ro RNP), in association with Ro60 and La proteins. The Y RNAs and Ro60 and La proteins are well conserved, but the function of the Ro RNP is not known.
Source: Rfam by way of RNAcentral